RNAcentral lists this transfer RNA (72 nucleotides) under Ovis aries (sheep). It matches the Rfam family "tRNA". Rfam says of the family: Transfer RNA (tRNA) molecules are approximately 80 nucleotides in length. Their secondary structure includes four short double-helical elements and three loops (D, anti-codon, and T loops). Lineage: Eukaryota; Metazoa; Chordata; Mammalia; Artiodactyla; Bovidae. The record is from Rfam by way of RNAcentral.
UUCCUGAUAUUUUAGUUGGUAAAGAGUCUGCCUUCAAUGCAGGAAACCCCAGUUCGAUUCCUGGGUUAGGAA